AACGAACGCUGGCGGCAUGCCUAACACAUGCAAGUCGAACGAGACCUUCGGGUCUAGUGGCGCACGGGUGCGUAACGCGUGGGAACCUGCCCUUAGGUUCGGAAUAACUCCCCGAAAGGGGUGCUAAUACCGGAUAAUGUCGUCGGACCAAAGAUUUAUCGCCUUUGGAUGGGCCCGCGUUGGAUUAGCUAGUUGGUAGGGUAAAAGCCUACCAAGGCGACGAUCCAUAGCUGGUCUGAGAGGAUGAUCAGCCACACUGGGACUGAGACACGGCCCAGACUCCUACGGGAGGCAGCAGUGGGGAAUAUUGGACAAUGGGCGAAAGACUGAUCCAGCCAUGCCGCGUGAGUGAUGAAGGCCUUAGGGUUGUAAAGCUCUUUUACCCGGGAUGAUAAUGACAGUACUGGGAGAAUAAGCGCCGGCUAACUCCGUG
RNAcentral lists this ribosomal RNA (433 nucleotides) under uncultured bacterium. RNAcentral's name for it is "partial 16S ribosomal RNA". It matches the Rfam family "Bacterial small subunit ribosomal RNA", at positions 29 to 507 of the family's 1533-position model. The record is from RNAcentral.